Molecule: ribosomal RNA, 2897 nt
Filed under: Streptococcus sp. UMB1385
Lineage: Bacteria; Bacillati; Bacillota; Bacilli; Lactobacillales; Streptococcaceae
Description: bacterial LSU rRNA
Rfam family: Bacterial large subunit ribosomal RNA
Source: RNAcentral
CGAUUAAGUAGUAAAGGGCGCACGGAGGAUGCCUUGGCACUAGGAGCCGAAGAAGGACGUGACAAACGACGAAAUGCUACGGGGAGCUGUAAGUAAGCAAAGAGCCGUAGAUAUCCGAAUAGGGGAACCCACCGCUUUUAAAAGGGCGGUACGCGAAAGCGAGGUAACGCAGGGAACUGAAACAUCUAAGUACCUGUAGGAAGAGAAAGAAAAAUCGAUUUCCUGAGUAGCGGCGAGCGAAAAGGAAAGAGCCCAAACCAAUGUGCUUGCAUAUUGGGGUUGUAGGACUCUCAACAAAGCGUAUGAUAAAGUAUAGUAGAACUAGCUGGAAAGUUAGACCGUAGAAGGUAAAAGUCCUGUAUACGAAAUGCUAAGUUGGCGCGAGAGAGCACCUGAGUACGGCGGAACACGAGGAAUUCCGUCGGAAUCUACCAGGACCAUCUGGUAAGGCUAAAUACUACCUAGUGACCGAUAGUGAACCAGUACCGUGAGGGAAAGGUGAAAAGAACCCCGGGAGGGGAGUGAAAGAGAACCUGAAACCGUGUGCUUACAAGUAGUCAGAGCCCCUUGAGGGUGAUGGCGUGCCUUUUGUAGAAUGAACCGGCGAGUUACUUUAUCAUGCGAGGUUAAGUGGAAGACAUGGAGCCGAAGCGAAAGCGAGUCUUAAUAGGGCGAAAUAGUAUGAUGGAGUAGACCCGAAACCAAGUGAUCUACCCAUGGCCAGGUUGAAGUUUAGGUAACACUGAAUGGAGGACCGAACCAGGACACGUUGAAAAGUGUUUGGAUGAGCUGUGGGUAGCGGAGAAAUUCCAAUCGAACUUGGAAAUAGCUGGUUCUCUCCGAAAUAGCUUUAGGGCUAGCCUCGUUGUGAGUUUACUGGAGGUAGAGCACUGUUUGGACUAGGGGCCCAUCCCGGGUUACCGAAUUCAGACAAACUCCGAAUGCCAGAUAAAUAUCAACGGGAGUCAGACUGCGGGUGAUAAGGUUCGUAGUCGAAAGGGAAACAGCCCAGACCGCCAGCUAAGGUCCCAAAUUGUAUGUUAAGUGGAAAAGGAUGUGAUGAUGCACAGACAACCAGGAUGUUGGCUUAGAAGCAGCCACCAUUUAAAGAGUGCGUAAUAGCUCACUGGUCGAGUGACAUCGCGCCGAAAAUGUACCGGGGCUAAACAUACAACCGAAGCUGCGGAUAUAACUAAUGUUAUAUGGUAGGAGAGCGUUCUAACAUCAUAGAAGCCGAGCUGUAAGGCGAGGUGGAGAGGUUAGAAGUGAGAAUGCCGGUGUGAGUAGCGAAAGAUAGGUGAGAAUCCUAUCCACCGAAUGACUAAGGUUUCCAGAGGAAGGCUCGUCCGCUCUGGGUAAGUCGGGACCUAAGGUGAAGCCGAAUGGUGAAGCCGAUGGACAACAGGUAGAAAUUCCUGUACCACCAAAUAUCGUUUGAGAGAAGUGGGGACAGAGGAGGCUAAUUGAUCGUCCUGAUGGAAUAGGACGUCUAAGCACAAAGGUUGAGUAGUAGGCAAAUCCGCUGCUCNNNNNNNNNNNNNNNNNNNNNNNNNNNNNNNNNNNNNNNNNAUAGUAGCGAAGUCAAUGAAGCCAAACUCUCAAGAAAAGCCGCUAUCGAGAUAAGAGGUGCCCGUACCGCAAACCGACACAGGUAGUUGGGAAGAGAAUUCUAAGGUGAGCGAGAGAACCAUCGUUAAGGAACUCGGCAAAAUGACCCCGUAACUUCGGGAGAAGGGGUGCCUACGAGAGUAGGCCGCAGUGAAUAGGCCCAAGCGACUGUUUAACAAAAACACAGGUCUCUGCAAAACCGCAAGGUGAAGUAUAGGGGCUGACGCCUGCCCGGUGCUGGAAGGUUAAGAGGAGUGCUUAGGAGAAAUCCGAAGGUAUGAAUUGAAGCCCCAGUAAACGGCGGCCGUAACUAUAACGGUCCUAAGGUAGCGAAAUUCCUUGUCGGGUAAGUUCCGACCCGCACGAAAGGCGUAACGAUUUGGGCACUGUCUCAACGAUGGACUCGGUGAAAUCAUAGUACCUGUGAAGAUGCAGGUUACCCGCGACAGGACGGAAAGACCCCAUGGAGCUUUACUGUAGCUUGAUAUUGAAUUUUGAUGCAGUAUGUACAGGAUAGGUAGGAGCCUAGGAAUCAUGCACGCCAGUGUAUGAGGAGGCGUUGUUGGGAUACUACCCUUGCUGUAUUGAAAUUCUAACCCUCGGCGUAGAAGACCGGGAGACAGUGUCAGGUGGGCAGUUUGACUGGGGCGGUCGCCUCCCAAAGAGUAACGGAGGCGUUCAAAGGUUCCCUCAGAAUGGUUGGAAAUCAUUUGCAGAGUGUAAAGGCACAAGGGAGCUUGACUGUGAGACUUACAAGUCGAGCAGGUGCGAAAGCAGGACUUAGUGAUCCGGUGGUUCCGCAUGGAAGGGCCAUCGCUCAACGGAUAAAAGCUACCCUGGGGAUAACAGGCUUAUCUCCCCCAAGAGUCCACAUCGACGGGGAGGUUUGGCACCUCGAUGUCGGCUCAUCGCAUCCUGGGGCUGUAGUCGGUCCCAAGGGUUGGGCUGUUCGCCCAUUAAAGCGGUACGCGAGCUGGGUUCAGAACGUCGUGAGACAGUUCGGUCCCUAUCCGUCGUGGGCGUAGGAAAUUUGAGAGGAGCUGUCCUUAGUACGAGAGGACCGGGAUGGACGUAUCAAUGGUGUACCAGUUGUCACGCCAGUGGCAUAGCUGGGUAGCUAAAUACGGAAGGGAUAAGAGCUGAAAGCAUCUAAGCAUGAAGCCCCCCUCGAGAUGAGAUUUCCCACGGAUAUUAAGACCCCUUGAAGACGACAAGGAGAAUAGGUUAGGAGUGUAAGCACGGUAACGUGUUCAGCUGACUAAUACUAAUAGGUCGAGGACUUAAUCAAG